CCCCUAGAUGUUCUGGGCCGCACGCGCGCUACACUGAACAGUUCAACAAGUCUUAACCUUGGCCGAUAGGUCUGGGUAAUCUUUGAACGCUGUUCGUGAUUGGGAUAGACCUUUGCAAUUAUGGGUCUUCAACGAGGAAUUCCUAGUAAACGCAAGUCAUCAGCUUGCAUUGAUUACGUCCCUGCCCUUUGUACACACUGCCCGUCGCACCUACCGAUUGAAUGGUCCGGUGAAAUCUCGGGACGGCGGCUUGGUCGCUUGCGUCCGACUGCUGAAACUUGAUUAAACCAUAUCAUUUAGAGGAAGGUGAANUCGUAACA
This 320-nucleotide ribosomal RNA is filed under the name uncultured eukaryote. Its description in RNAcentral is "partial 18S ribosomal RNA". It matches the Rfam family "Eukaryotic small subunit ribosomal RNA", at positions 1470 to 1796 of the family's 1831-position model. The record is from RNAcentral.